GACAGAGGGGGCAAGCGUUGCUCGGAAUCACUGGGCGUAAAGGGCGCGUAGGCGGGAUGGCAAGUCGGUCGUGAAAUCCCUCGGCUCAACCGAGGAGCGUCGGCCGAUACUGCCGUUCUUGAGGGAUGCAGAGGAGACUGGAAUUCCCGGUGUAGCGGUGAAAUGUGUAGAGAUCGGGAGGAACACCGGUGGCGAAGGCGGGUCUCUGGGCCGAUAUCGACGCUGAGGAGCGAAAGCGUGGGGAGCGAACAGG
This 253-nucleotide ribosomal RNA is filed under the name uncultured prokaryote. RNAcentral's name for it is "partial 16S ribosomal RNA". It matches the Rfam family "Bacterial small subunit ribosomal RNA", at positions 524 to 776 of the family's 1533-position model. The record is from RNAcentral.